UGCACUGCCUUGCUGGGAGGUGGGAAGAUGUUUGCAGCUCCAGGGUCACCCAGGGAGGGUUUGGGGCUGGCGGGGCUGAGAGCUGCGGCGCUUCUGCAGGCGCACAACUUCUCACCUGCCAAACCCAUGCUCUGGCAAUGAAAUCAAUAAUGAACUGUGUUUGCCCACCUGGUCUCACAGGAGAAACAUAGCAUUAAGUCUCAGGGAGGCUUUGGCCCGGGUUCAGCAAGGCACUUAAACACAUGCCCAGCUUCAGGGUGGGACUGGUCUUCCCCGGCCUCCCUCCAAAAUAGAUGGGGGUCGUUCAAGCAGACGCAGCAAAAGUGCUUGCCCGUGCUGUGCCAAGGCUUUAAAUCAUGAGAUAAUCUCACCAGGCACAUUUGUUAAGUUAUGCUCGGCUGUUUUCCUGCGUGCUUUUUAUUUUUUUUUUUUUUUUUGCUGAUGACAAGAAUAGCACAUAACGAAGGCGAGAAGGUGCAGCCAGCUCCCAGAAAGAUACGGGGAGUUAUUUUCCUCUCUGUACCCGGCGUGGUCAGGUUUGGAUAAAUCCUGUGGGCUGAGCCUCACCUGUUCGGCCUGCACAGACUCAGGAUGUGCACGGACCUCGGCUGCUGCGCGAGGGUGGAGGCUACAGGGGUGCUGGGGCAGAAGUGCUGGGAGGAGGGUUCAUUGGACACCACACGGAGGGGCAGCCUGGCUGGGAAAGGAAAAGGAGUCCCAUGAUGUGGACAGGUCUGGGGACAGAGGGUUGGUUGGGCGAGUUGGGUGGCUCCAAGGACCAGGGUUCAGGAGAAGGAAAAGCCAAAAGCAACUAAAGCCCAGAAGGGAUUUGGGGCUUUGAGCAACCUGUUCUAGUGGGAGGUGUCCCUGCCCAUGGCAGGAGGGUUGGAAUCAGAUGACCUUUAAGGUCUCUUCCAACCCAAACCAUUUUAUGGUUCUAUGAUUUUUCUUCCUCUGAGCUUUUUCUAGAGUGUGCUAUAGGGUGUGCACCCUGUUCUCUGCACCCUGAAGGCAAGAGGGGGCUACAGAAAGCCAGAGGAGGACCGAAAGCUGCGAUGUGAACUACUGCUGUUUAUUUGGUGAUGUCCCUCUCCUGCUCGCGUCCCCGUCGCCUGUGCCUGUGCCAGCCUGGGUUUGCUGUGAGCCCUGGCUCCCCUGACAGGUUUGAGGUCACCUACAGGUUGCAUCUGGCUCUGGAUACAUGGCGAGAGGGUCUCAGGGAUGCUCUGGGAUAUCUUUUCUGAACACAACAUAGAUAAUCAAGCUCAACACUUGAGCGUGAAACUUGGGUGAGGACGAGGGGAUGUGGAGAGAAUUCCAGGGACAGGAUGUGUUUCUCAAACUGAGUCUGUGGGAGCUUCUCACUCAAAUGUGAGCCACAUAAAAAUGUAUCUGUGACCCCUGGCUUGCAGAGCCCAGGGUGAUGUGGCUGUUUUCCUUCCCUUUCCUCCUCAGGGCAGGGACCAUACCUGCUGCCAUAGAAGCCAUGGCUGCUUUCCAGCAAGGGAGAGGUGGGGAAUGGUUGAGAGCUUUCAUGAAAUGUCUUGCGGAGACUUGAGCAGCUAAAAUUCAAAUGCAGAAAGAGGAGCUCACCCUUCUUUUUUCGUGAGCAUUUCUGAGGGGCAGUAAGAGCCCAAACACAAAGCGAAACCCUCAGCAACAGCUGAGCAAAAUCCUGGUAGGGUCUGAACCACUCGAGCAGGGAGAAAGCCCUUCUUUAAGUCAUCGACUGUCUUUUUAGAGGAUGUUCUUCUAAGGGUUUGGCUGAGCCCGCAGUUGGAGAAGAGAUGUUCUCCUUGGCCAGCAGAGUGCCAAGUGCCCGGACCAUAUCCCCUCCUGCAAGGACUGUGGAGCAUGGUGCAGGUGGUGCAGGGGCUUUGCGCCCUCUGGAAAAAGUUACUGGGAAAGCCCAGCAGAGGUCUUACCGGUCUCUUGUUUCUCUGAACUGGGGGAGAGAAAGGGGGCAGGAAAGAGAGUCGCACCAAAGUCUGUGAAGGCAGCAGAAAACUUUGGUUGCCUCAUAGGUGAUUUUUAUGUGUUGGUACAAAUAGACGAGCCCAGCAUGCCAUGUGAACUUUUUAUUAUUUAUUAAUACAAUGGCUUUUAAAGUGUGUGUCAGCAAGUGGGAAUGGACUUGAGAGACAGAAGAAAUACUUCUUCAGGCCUUUUUCUUCUUUGAAAGCAAUGAAAUGUAUCUUUUGACCUGCAGAGUUACUCUGUCAUAUUUAACUUAUUUUUGUGUUACUGGGUUUCUCUUACUUGUGUGUACCUGUGUGCAACAGAAAUAAACUUUAAACAAUGGGAUUUCAUCUAAUGCACCUACAUGGAAAUGGCAUCGCUUCAGACAGACGAGCAAUGUCAACUUGAUAUCGAAUACAAAGAAGUGUGAGCUCUCAAAGAAAGAAAGGGUGUAGGGCAAUCUAAAGAAAAUCCUGCUACUGGGCAUCCCUUUGGUGGACAGACAUUGGAAAAAUGCAGCAUCCCCCUCAGAACAGCCCAGCUGUGGCCCAGUCUGGAGCAACUGGGCUGCCACCACAGGAGGUGAUGUCUGAACAGCUAACCUUGAAAUAUGCUGGUUUACCAGCACCAUGAAUAGAAAUCUUUGAAGUUGUGAAAAUGUGAAAACUGCAGUUGGUUAACAGAAUUUAUAUUGGGUGAAAUACCAGCGGGAUAUAAAGAAGAGCAUGCUGGCUCAGCUCUUGUUUUCUGAAGACAGCUUGGCUGCAGAGGGCCCCAGCUGUAGCCCCAGCAAGUGAUGCAUAAGUAGGGUGCAUUGGCAUUGAGAUGUUGGGGAUCCUUCCAGAGGCAAAGGCUGGCGAUUAACAUGGGAUCCCCCAUAAAACAGGCUGAAACCCACAGCCAGGGCAGCCCUACCGAACGGGCUUUCCUUGCCGUUGGGCUCUUGAGAAGCAGGGUGAGGGCUCGCCACUGAAAACACUCUAAAAUGGCAGAAACUGUUGGUAGCACGGGUAACCGCAGAGGCAC
This is a long non-coding RNA of Chroicocephalus ridibundus (black-headed gull), 2985 nucleotides long. RefSeq lists it as uncharacterized. The record is from RefSeq and is a predicted model, not a curated record. The transcript is spliced from 3 exons. NCBI's taxonomy places the organism in Eukaryota, Metazoa, Chordata, Aves, Charadriiformes, Laridae.